GAUGAACGCUGGCGGCGUGCUUAACACAUGCAAGUCGAACGGACUGCGGGAGCUUGCUCCCAAAGUUAGUGGCGGACGGGUGAGUAACGCGUGGGUAACCUACCCUAUGCAGGGGGGAUAACAUUUGGAAACAGAUGCUAAUACCGCAUAACCUAAGUUUUUCGCAUGAGAAACUUAGCAAAGAUUUAUCGGCAUAGGAUGGACCCGCGUUGGAUUAGCUAGUUGGUGAGAUAAAAGCUCACCAAGGCCACGAUCCAUAGCCGGCCUGAGAGGGUGAACGGCCACACUGGGACUGAGACACGGCCCAGACUCCUACGGGUGGCUG
RNAcentral lists this ribosomal RNA (325 nucleotides) under uncultured Bacillota bacterium. Its description in RNAcentral is "bacterial SSU rRNA". It matches the Rfam family "Bacterial small subunit ribosomal RNA", at positions 28 to 351 of the family's 1533-position model. The record is from RNAcentral. Lineage: Bacteria; Bacillati; Bacillota.